RNAcentral lists this ribosomal RNA (1413 nucleotides) under Escherichia coli p0305293.9. RNAcentral's name for it is "partial 23S ribosomal RNA". The stretch from base 426 to 1413 matches the Rfam family "Bacterial small subunit ribosomal RNA", at positions 1 to 982 of the family's 1533-position model. Lineage: Bacteria; Pseudomonadati; Pseudomonadota; Gammaproteobacteria; Enterobacterales; Enterobacteriaceae. The record is from RNAcentral.
ACAGAAAUUACAUUGAUGAUUGUGGAUAACUCUGUGCGUAAAAAGGUAUAAAGCGGGGUUUUGCUGGGGAAUGCAGCAGUCAGUCAUUUUUCUGCAAUUUUUCUAUUGCGGCCUGCGGAGAACUCCCUAUAAUGCGCCUCCAUCGACACGGCGGAUGUGAAUCACUUCACACAAACAGCCGGUUCGGUUGAAGAGAAAAAUCCUGAAAUUCAGGGUUGACUCUGAAAGAGGAAAGCGUAAUAUACGCCACCUCGCGACAGUGCGCUAAAGCGCGUCGCAACUGCUCUUUAACAAUUUAUCAGACAAUCUGUGUGGGCACUCGAAGAUACGGAUUCUUAACGUCGCAAGACGAAAAAUGAAUACCAAGUCUCAAGAGUGAACACGUAAUUCAUUACGAAGUUUAAUUCUUUGAGCAUCAAACUUUUAAAUUGAAGAGUUUGAUCAUGGCUCAGAUUGAACGCUGGCGGCAGGCCUAACACAUGCAAGUCGAACGGUAACAGAAGAGCUUGCUUUUGCUGACGAGUGGCGGACGGGUGAGUAAUGUCUGGGAAACUGCCUGAUGGAGGGGGAUAACUACUGGAAACGGUAGCUAAUACCGCAUAACGUCGCAAGACCAAAGAGGGGGACCUUCGGGCCUCUUGCCAUCGGAUGUGCCCAGAUGGGAUUAGCUUGUUGGUGGGGUAACGGCUCACCAAGGCGACGAUCCCUAGCUGGUCUGAGAGGAUGACCAGCCACACUGGAACUGAGACACGGUCCAGACUCCUACGGGAGGCAGCAGUGGGGAAUAUUGCACAAUGGGCGCAAGCCUGAUGCAGCCAUGCCGCGUGUAUGAAGAAGGCCUUCGGGUUGUAAAGUACUUUCAGCGGGGAGGAAGGGAGUAAAGUUAAUACCUUUGCUCAUUGACGUUACCCGCAGAAGAAGCACCGGCUAACUCCGUGCCAGCAGCCGCGGUAAUACGGAGGGUGCAAGCGUUAAUCGGAAUUACUGGGCGUAAAGCGCACGCAGGCGGUUUGUUAAGUCAGAUGUGAAAUCCCCGGGCUCAACCUGGGAACUGCAUCUGAUACUGGCAAGCUUGAGUCUCGUAGAGGGGGGUAGAAUUCCAGGUGUAGCGGUGAAAUGCGUAGAGAUCUGGAGGAAUACCGGUGGCGAAGGCGGCCCCCUGGACGAAGACUGACGCUCAGGUGCGAAAGCGUGGGGAGCAAACAGGAUUAGAUACCCUGGUAGUCCACGCCGUAAACGAUGUCGACUUGGAGGUUGUGCCCUUGAGGCGUGGCUUCCGGAGCUAACGCGUUAAGUCGACCGCCUGGGGAGUACGGCCGCAAGGUUAAAACUCAAAUGAAUUGACGGGGGCCCGCACAAGCGGUGGAGCAUGUGGUUUAAUUCGAUGCAACGCGAAGAACCUUACCUGGUCUU